This 558-nucleotide ribosomal RNA is filed under the name Ampelomyces humuli. Its description in RNAcentral is "eukaryotic LSU rRNA". The stretch from base 187 to 340 matches the Rfam family "5.8S ribosomal RNA". The record is from RNAcentral. Lineage: Eukaryota; Fungi; Ascomycota; Dothideomycetes; Pleosporales; Phaeosphaeriaceae.
AAAGGUAUACAAGGUUUCCGUAGGUGAACCUGCGGAAGGAUCAUUACCUAGAGUUGUAGGCUUUGGCCUGCUAUCUCUUACCCAUGUCUUUUGAGUACCUUCGUUUCCUCGGCGGGUCCGCCCGCCGAUUGGACAAUUUAAACCAUUUGCAGUUGCAAUCAGCGUCUGAAAAAACUUAAUAGUUACAACUUUCAACAACGGAUCUCUUGGUUCUGGCAUCGAUGAAGAACGCAGCGAAAUGCGAUAAGUAGUGUGAAUUGCAGAAUUCAGUGAAUCAUCGAAUCUUUGAACGCACAUUGCGCCCCUUGGUAUUCCAUGGGGCAUGCCUGUUCGAGCGUCAUUUGUACCUUCAAGCUCUGCUUGGUGUUGGGUGUUUGUCUCGCCUCUGCGUGUAGACUCGCCUCAAAACAAUUGGCAGCCGGCGUAUUGAUUUCGGAGCGCAGUACAUCUCGCGCUUUGCACUCAUAACGACGACGUCCAAAAGUACAUUUUUACACUCUUGACCUCGGAUCAGGUAGGGAUACCCGCUGAACUUAAGCAUAUCAAUAAGCGGAGGAA